RNAcentral lists this ribosomal RNA (492 nucleotides) under uncultured bacterium. RNAcentral's name for it is "partial 16S ribosomal RNA". It matches the Rfam family "Bacterial small subunit ribosomal RNA", at positions 29 to 507 of the family's 1533-position model. The record is from RNAcentral.
AGUGAACGCUGGCGGUAGGCCUAACACAUGCAAGUCGAACGGCAGCACAGUAAGAGCUUGCUCUUACGGGUGGCGAGUGGCGGACGGGUGAGGAAUACAUCGGAAUCUACUUUUUCGUGGGGGAUAACGUAGGGAAACUUACGCUAAUACCGCAUACGACCUACGGGUGAAAGCAUGGGAUCUUCGGACCUUGCGCGAUUGAAUGAGCCGAUGUCGGAUUAGCUAGUUGGCGGGGUAAAGGCCCACCAAGGCGACGAUCCGUAGCUGGUCUGAGAGGAUGAUCAGCCACACUGGAACUGAGACACGGUCCAGACUCCUACGGGAGGCAGCAGUGGGGAAUAUUGGACAAUGGGCGAAAGCCUGAUCCAGCCAUACCGCGUGGGUGAAGAAGGCCUUCGGGUUGUAAAGCCCUUUUGUUGGGAAAGAAAAGCAGCAGGUUAAUACCCCGCUGUUAUGACGGUACCCAAAGAAUAAGCACCGGCUAACUUCGUG